AUGCAAAACCGGGUGGUGGUUGCUCUCCUUGCCCACUUCACCAACACAUUCGACGCCUUCUACCUCCUCGGUCGGGUGUUUUGGUGUGGCUCCGAGUUCAUCGCUUUCACCACCCACAAACAGGUUCACGGAGUACAACAACAUCUUCCCCACCGCGACGCGCAUGCACACUCUUCCGUACCCCAUCGACAACGCCCCGGAGGAGCAAUGAAAAGGGCGCUCGGAGGAGGAGCGAGGUGGAGAAGGCGGCGGCUAGGGAGCUCGACCACAAUACCUUGUACCAAAAGAUCAUACAUCGAACAUAAUAAGCAUGGCGUAAGGAGCGCCCUCUCGCGCUGUCCACAUUGGCAGAGGCGCACUGCGCGUUCCAGCAAAUGGAACGAGUGGAGGUCCUCGCGCUAUCAAUGUGGAGAGAGAAGAAAAGAAUGUGUGUGCUGUCGGCACCCAUAUCGAGCCCCUCGUUCUCUCCUUUUCCUUCACAGGCACGUCUUCUCCUCCCUACGUCUGUCUGGUCCCCUUCUCUCUUGUGCAUGUCACCUCCUCCCGGGCAUGACUAAUCGGAGCUCGUCGGCAACCUUCGCCCCGCUGCUCGUCACAACCUCCCUUCUGAAGCUCCGGCAGCGGUGCCUUCGUCGCCUCUCUCUCUCUCUCUCCUCUCUCUCUCUCUCUCAUGCUCCAGUAUUAGCUCACAUCCUCCUCCCUCUCGUCGGCGGCAAGCCGGUGGUGGUCUCCUCGGCUCCUUCCCGACCGGUCCGUGCGACGAGUAAUGGAGGGGAGCAGCACUACUUCGCCAUCAGGAGAGCCAUAGUUGCAAUGGCCACAACAUAUGCACCAACACUAUCAGCCAUGGAAUCGGCCAAUAGUGCUCAAAAUCAAGAUUUCAGCAAUGUUAGCUCAUUUGCAGAGAUUAAUUCCCCAAUGCUUGUCAUUACUGAUUCCAGUACAAUGAAAAAGAAACAAUCGUUCUUUCAAGAGCUCUGGAGCUUGACAGGUCAGCAACCAAAGUCGUUCGGGGAUUCUUUUGCUCAGCCCGAACGUUUCUUCCUCCCGCCGCACGUCUCUCUCCUUAUCCACUCCCACCUUCGCCCACAGCCACACCACUCGUUUUACUCGGCUCGAGAUGAGGAGGAGGACGAGCGCCGCGCUGCUCGCCGACGCGAAGCUCUAGGACGGCGCACUCCGGGUUCCCGCCGACCGGCUCAAGCGAGGCGAGUGGCCGCGGCGGCCGUCGAGGCCACCUCCGUCUGCGCGCACAUUGAUUGCUCGACCUGGCGGCCAUCAUCGAGGCUGGCGCGCUCCGGGUCCGCGCCGACCGACUCAACGAGGCGACGUGGGCGGAGAGCGAGCGCCGCCUGCUUGCCCGCGCCGCCGUCGAGGCCGCCUCCGUCUGCGCGCACCUAGCCGCCGUCCAUGGCCACUGUUGCGGCUGCUCUAAUCGCUCGGUGCGGCUAUCACCUCCCAUGCGGCUGGGCGUCCUUGCCGCAGGCCCGCAGCCACAGCCAGGGGGCAGCGCACCCUAUGGCUGCAAGAUUGGGGAGGCGCACUACUCGAUGACGGGCGUGGCGGUCCUCCGCAUCAUCUUUUGCUGCAAGGCUGCAGGGAAUCCAUGCUCGUCGUUGUUCGCUAGGUGACGCCGCAGCCGCAGGUCGAGCUUGACCACCACGGCGGCAAACUGCAAAAGGCAUUUGGAUCUUUUUCCACUGCAGGUGGCAACAUCCUCAACCCCCCGUCUUUUUUUUCAUUUUUGUUAGUUUGAUUAUCUGCAAAUUGAUGUGCCAUGACCCAGUAGAGGCACAUCCGAGUUUUGUGUUUAGUUUUCUCACCCCAAAUUGCAUCCCAUGACCCAGUAAACUAGUACAGAUGACAUGCCAUGACCCAGUGCACUAGUAGAUAUGUCAUGGCAAUUUUCACCCCCAUUCUGUACCAUGGUAUUUUUGUGAUAUGUAGUUUUCGAUCUGGUUCAGAACUGGUAGGGAUAUUCUAGGGCAAUUUCCAAUAUGCAGUGAACGGCAAAUUUAGAAUCGUUCCACCACAAUUUUUCCAUUUUGUUUUCUUAGGGAGAACCAAAUUUUGCCGCGCCAAAUUCAUACGUUCUGCCAUCACUACAUAGGAGUUCUUUUUUGCCAUGCCGUAGUUUUGCCAUCAAGUUUUACAUUUCUGUCAUAGUUUUGAUGUGUCAAUCGCAUUAUUUCUUCGAGCUGAUGCAUUUUAUUUUUGAAUUUUCAUGUAGCUAGCUGAGUAAUGUUAUGUCCUAUGAAAUUCGGUGACUUUCGUAACAUGGCAUUUCUGUCACAACAAUUCCAUUAUUUUUUGUCACAUGGCAUAUUCUGUCAUUUUUCAUUUUCCUAGUCUUUUUGUUCAUAACUUGGCAAAUUCAUUAAUGGUCACAUGGCAAAUUCAGCUAUGGUCAAAUGGGAAAUAUAUUAGAAAACUAUUUAACAUACAUGGCAAGUUUCUUUUUAAAGCAUGGCAAAUUUAGUUCAUGGAUCAUGGCAAAUUUUACUAAUUCACCAUGGCAAAUUUAGUUUAUGCAUCAUGACAUUUUUACUAAUUCACCAUGGCAAAUUGUAGUUAGAGACAAUAAUUCUAAAUUGUUAUAAUAAAGUUGCCAUGGCAAACUAUAAAAAGAAAAUAAUUCUAGGUUAGUUAUCAAGAAAGUUGCCAUGGCGAAAAAUUGUAAAUAGAGACAGUAAUUCUAAGUUGUUACCAAAAAUUUGCCAUGGAAAUUUGUUGAGACAAAAAUAAUUCUAAGUUGUUAUCAGAAAAGUUGCCAUGGCAAAUUAUAGAGAGACACAUAAUUCUAAGUUUCUAUCAGAAAGUUGCCAUGGAAAUUUCGUAGAGUGAUUUUUUUAAGUUGACAUCAGAAGGUUGCCAUGGCAAAUUGUAGAGAGAACUAAUUCGAAGUUAGUUAUCAGAAAAGUUUCCAUGGCAAUUUUAAGAUGUUAAAAAACAUGGCAAGGUUUUAGAUGUUCAAAAACAUUCCAACUUGCCAUGGCAAUGUUUCAGAUUUUCAAAAACAUUCCAACUUGCCAUGGCAACGUUAUAGAUGUUGAAAAACAUGGCAAACUUGCCAGGGCAACUUAAGAUGUUCAAAAAUAUGGCAAACUUACAGAUGUUCAAAAACAUGUUAAACUUGCCAUGCCAUUUUUAAAAUGUUCAAAACCAUUUGCAAACUUGCCACGGCAAACUAAAGAUGUGCAAAAACAUGGCAAACUUUUUUUAUUAAGUUCAUACAUAAAUAUGGCAAACUUCUUAAGAUGUUCAAAAACAUGGCAAACUUGCCAUGGCAACUAAAGAUGUUCGAAAUCAUGGCAACCUAAUAUGCUGAAAAACAUGGCAAACUUGCCAUGUCAACUAAAAUCACUAUUUGUUUGUAGUUGUGUUUUUUCCCACGACAACUUAUAUAGCCAUGGGUAAACUAACUUUUAAAUCCCAUGGAAAUUUUAAAUUAACUUGUAUAGCCAUGGGCAAUUAACUUUCAAAGCCCAUGGCAAAUUCACCAUUUUAUUGACAUGGCAAGUUUUGUUUCUUAUGUUUGGCAUGGCAACUUUUAUCCUUUAUCGCCAUGGCAUUUUUACUUAUGCAUGCAUGGCAAAUUUUACUUAUCAUUUACGACAAUUUUUACUUCUCAUUCUCCAUGGCAAAUAUACCUUCAUUUUUUGCCAUGGCAAUUUUCAGUUAGUGGAAAUAAUGCAUAAUUUUGCCAUGUUUCUUGUGCACCGAAUAUGCAUAAAUUUGCCAUGUCCUGGAAUACAUAAAUUUGCCCAUGUGACAAGUCUGAAAAUUUCAUAGUUUUGCCAUGUGACCAGGCAUGGAACUUGCCAUGCUAUGAACAAAUUCCAUAAACUUGCUUUUUUGUGACUAGUACUCCAAAAAAUACAUUCUACAUUUUCCAUUAUUCAGAUUGUAGCAUGGCAUUUUCCAGUUUAUUGGCACGGCAAUUUUUACUUUUCUUUUUUGUCAUGGGAAUUAUUUUUUGCCAUUGUAUUUUUGAAUUUUUUGCCCUGGCAACUUUCCCAUGCUUUUGUUAGGAAUCAAAUAUGUUGUAAACCUUGCUAUUUGUAAAAUUAUAUCAUGGAAAAUCAUAAAAUAGUUUGGUCAAACUCGAAUGGUACUUUUUGAAAUUCUCCCUGGCAUUUUUCUGCUUCUAAAGUUGAUGACAUUUUUUUUGUAGUAUAGCAAAAACUAGUCUUUUUAUUUGUCACAGAAAAAGUAAACAGAAUCUGGGCUUCUUCUUUUGUUGUGCUAUUGGGCUUUUUUUUCUUUUUCAUUUUACAUGAAAAAGGCCCGGGCCUGGGGAGGGCGUUCGUGAUUUCGAUGCUCUCUCCUCCCGAAGGCAAAUUUGACAAAUUUGACCUAGAGACGAAAUCAAAUCACAGAAUGAACUGUCCGUGAAACUAUUUCACGCGGCUGACCCGUGGCGCCUAGCUCUCAGGCGCUGCACUAGUGCAACACCUGGGAGCUAGGCGCUGCACUAGUGCAACGCCUGGUAGCUAGGCGCUACACUGUAUAGUGUGGCGCUUAGCUCUCAGGUGCUGCACACUGACUUAGUAAUUUUCUGAUCACACGGGUGCGACGCUGGCCGUGUAGCGCCUAUCUGUGAGGCGUUGCACAGUGUAGUGUGGCGCCUUCGUGUCGGGCGUCACACAAAAAGGUCAGCCGCGUGAAAUAGUUUCACGGAUAGUUCAUUCUGUGAUUUGAUUUCGUCUAUAGGUCAAAUUUGUCAAAAAUUGCCCCUGCCGAACGAAAGCGUUCGUGAGGGGUCCAGACCGAACAUUCGGGAGAUAUCGGCGUCCUAUUUGUUUUGUCGCUGCGACUGGGCCUGUGUGUUCUGGUCCCGCCUGUAAGUUCAAAGGGUAGAAGUGGGUCGGUUCAUUUGAAACUUACAGCGCCUCGGUGCCUGGGUUUGUCAGGGAUGCACUGUGAUCACAUUCGUUGAACCGUCGUGGUGGGUGGGUGCGCAGCCCUCGCAGUUUUCUCCCCCCGCACCCCUCUCCUUGCCGAUCUCGCCAGUCGCUUGUCCUCAACCCCACCUUCAGCUUGCCUCUCGACCUUCCUCGUUGCUCACUUCGCCUGGCUCCGCCUUCCCAUCCCCACGGUGGAGUGCGAGGACGAGAUGACGACCGGGUCAUCCGUCAGCCUCGCCGCCGGGGAGCAGUCGGCCCGCGGUCGCGCGGUGCUCUCCGGCCCGCCGAACACGGUCCUGGCAUCGUCCGCGUCGGCGAUGGGCCCGUCGAUGUCGGCCCCCUCGGCGCUACGAGGGGCAAGGGCAGCCACGGCUCGCACGAGAUGCAGCUCCUGCUCGUGGAGUUAAAGGCCGGUGUUGGGGCCCUCAGCGGCGAGGAGGACGACUUGUCGUGUGUACGCAGUUUUCCUCCCGCUCGUGGAGUGCGCGUUUCGGGCCAGCCUCGAGGGUGGCCGUCCGGACGGCGACGAGCUUCGUCUCUGCAUCCAGACCUGCGACGCCGGCAGGCACGCCACUUCUUCGCCCCUCAGUCGCCGGUGCUUUCGUUCUGUCUACGGCGAUGGGGUUGCUUCCUCUGCUCCAUUCAUGUCGCUGAGGUUUUGUGAUGUUUGCCUGUUUCUCGCUCUGGAGUAGGUCCCUGCGUCAAUCUUGCCUUCGGCAUUGAGAUAUUGCAAGGCAUCUUCUUCCCGUCUCAGUAAUCAAAAAGUGCACCAUUGGACUGAUGUACCGGAAAGGGUAGUGCCACUGGAGAUAAUUAUUUCAGAUCACCUUCUACUUGAUGGAAGUCAUUAUCAGAAUGUAUGCAUACAACAACAACAACAACAACAACAAAGCCUUUAGUCCCAAACAAGUUGGGGUAGGCUAGAGGUGAAACCCAUAAGAUCUCGCAACCAACUCAUGGCUCUGGCACAUGGAUAGCAAGCUUCCACGCACCCCUGUCCAUAGCUAGCUCUUUGGUGAUACUCCAAUCCUUCAGGUCUCUCUUAACGGACUCCUCCCAUGUCAAAUUCGGUCUACCCCGCCCUCUCUUGACAUUCUCCGCAUGCUUUAGCCGUCCGCUAUGCACUGGAGCUUCUGGAGGCCUGCGCUGAAUAUGCCCAAACCAUCUCAGACGAUGUUGGACAAGCUUCUCCUCAAUUGGUGCUACCCCAACUCUAUCUCGUAUAUCAUCAUUCCGGACUCGAUCCUUCCUCGUGUGGCCACACAUCCAUCUCAACAUACGCAUCUCCGCCACACCUAAUUGUUGAACAUGUCGCCUUUUAGUCGGCCAACACUCCGCGCCAUACAACAUUGCGGGUCGAACCGCCGUCCUGUAGAACUUGCCUUUUAGCUUUUUUGGCACUCUCUUGUCACAGAGAAUGCCAGAAGCUUGGCGCCACUUCAUCCAUCCGGCUUUGAUUCGAUGGUUCACAUCUUCAUCAAUACCCCCAUCCUCCUGCAACAUUGACCCCAAAUACCAAAAGGUGUCCUUCCGAGGUACCACCCGGCCAUCAAGGCUAACCUCCUCCUCACACCUAGUAGUACUGAAACCGCACAUCAUGUACUCGGUUUUAGUUCUACUAAGCCUAAACCCUUUCGAUUCCAAGGUUUGUCUCCAUAACUCUAACUUCCUAUUUACCCCCGUCCGACUAUCGUCAACUAGCACCACAUCAUCUGCAAAGAGCAUACACCAUGGGAUAUCUCCUUGUAUAUCCCUUGUGACCUCAUCCAUCACCAAUGCAAAAAGAUAAGGGCUCAAAGCUGACCCCUGAUGUAGUCCUAUCUUAAUCGGGAAGUCAUCGGUCUCGACAUCACUUGUUCGAACACUUGUCACAACAUUAUCGUACAUGUCCUUGAUGAGGGUAAUGUACUUUGCUGGGACUUUGUGUUUCUCCAAGGCCCACCACAUGACAUUCCGCGGUAUCUUAUCAUAGGCCUUCUCCAAGUCAAUGAACACCAUAUGCAAGUCCUUCUUUUGCUCCCUAUAUCUCUCCAUAAGUUGUCGUACCAAGAAAAUGGCUUCCAUGGUCGACCUCCCAGGCAUGAAACCAAACUGAUUUUUGGUCACGCUUGUCAUUCUUCUUAAGCGGUGCUCAAUGACUCUCUCCCAUAGCUUCAUUGUAUGCCUCAUCAGCUUAAUUCCACGGUAAUUAGUACAACUCUGAACAUCCCCCUUGUUCUUGAAGAUUGGUACUAAUAUACUCCGUCUCCAUUCUUCUGGCAUCUUGUUUGCCCGAAAAAUGAGGUUGAAAAGCUUGGUUAGCCAUACUAUCGCUAUGUCCCCGAGACCUUUCCACACCUCAAUGGGGAUACAAUCAGGGCCCAUCGCCUUGCCUCCUUUCAUCCUUUUUAAAGCCUCCUUCACCUCAGACUCCUGGAUUCGCCGCACAAAACGCAUGCUGGUCUCAUCAAAGGAGUCGUCCAGUUCAAUGGUAGAACUCUCAUUCUCCCCAUUGAACAGCUUGUCGAAGUACUCCCGCCAUCUAUGCUUAAUCUCCUCGUCCUUCACCAAGAGUUGGCCUGCUCCGUCCUUGAUGCAUUUGACUUGGCCAAUAUCCCUCGUCUUCCUCUCUCGGAUCUUGGCCAUCUUAUAGAUGUCCCUUUCACCUUCCUUCGUGCCUAACCGUUGGUAGAGGUCCUCAUAUGCCCGACCCCUUGCUUCACCAACAGCUCGCUUUGCGGCCUUCUUCGCCAUCUUGUACUUCUCUAUGUUGUCUGCACUCCUAUCCAGGUAUAGGCGUCUGAAGCAAUCUUUCUUCUCUUUAAUCGCCUUCUGGACAUCAUCAUUCCACCACCAGGUAUCCUUAUCUUCGCUUCUCCUUCCCCUGGACACUCCAAACUCCUCCGAGGCCACCUUACGAAUGCAAGUCGCCAUCUUCAUCCACACAUUGUCCUCAUCCCCUCCUUCCUCCCAAGGGCCCUCCUUAAUGACCCUCUCCUUGAACACCUGAGCUACCUCCCCCUUGAGCUUCCACCACUUCGUUCUAGCAACUUUGGCACGCUUAUCCCGCUGGACACGAAUCCGAAAGUGGAAGUCAGCAACCACCAACUUAUGCUGGGGUACAACACUCUCUCCAGGUAUCACCUUACAGUCUAGGCACGCACGCCUAUCUUCUCUUCUCGAGAGGAUGAAAUCAAUCUGGCUAGUGUUGGCCACUACUAAAAGUCACCAGAUGUGAUUCUCUCUUUCUAAAGAGGGUGUUAGCUACAAUCAUGUUGUAGGCUAGAGCAAAGCUUAAGACAUCUUCUCCUUCUUGAUUCCUGAUGCCAUAGCCAAAGCCCCCAUGCGCCCCUUCAAAACCUGUGUUAGAUGUACCCACGUGGCCAUUGAGGUCUCCUCCUAUGAAGAGCUUCUCACCAAUUGGUACACUCCUAACCUAACCAUGUCUUCCAGGCCUUCCCAGAACUCCCUCUUGGUGUUCUCAUUGUGGCCUACUUGCGGGGCAUACGCGCUGAUAACAUUGAGAACCAAGUCCUCAACUACCAGCUUGACCAGGAUAAUCCGGUCCCCAUGUCUCUUGACGUCUACCACUCCAUACUUGAGGCUCUUGUUGAUCAAGAUGCCUACGCCAUUUCUGUUUGCAGCCGUCCCCGUGUACCACAGCUUGAAGCCGGUAUCGUCCACCUCCUUCGCCUUCUGUCCUCUCCAUUUGGUUUCUUGGACGCAAAGGAUAUCAACCCCUCUCCUCACCGCUGCAUCAACUAGCUCCCGAAGCUUCCCUGUCAGAGACCCUACGUUCCAGCUACCUAAGCGAAUCCUCCUAGGCUCGGCUAGCUUCCUUACCCUUCGCACUCGUCGAGUCAAAUGCGAAGACCCUUGCUCAUUUUCCACUACAUCCGGGCGCCGAUGUAGCGUGCCACUAAGGAUGCGACGACCUGAUCCUCGCUCACUUGCCACCGUAUCCGGAUCAAGAUACGGCGCGCCACUUGGGGGGUGACGGCCCGGCCCUUGCCCAUUUUCCACCACACCCGGGUUCCGAUGUGGCGCGUCCGCUGCAUCAGAAUGUAUGCAUCAUCGUGGUAUUUACUCAUGUACUAUGAAAUUAAACUGAGCUAACUGAAUUAUCUUUGCAAAAAAAUAUUAGACCAUGUAUAUUACCAAGUGUGUUCUUAUUUUUCGCUUUUCAGGUAGUUGUUAUAGGGGAGAACAAAGUAUUAAUAUUGCUGAUUUGUAAUAUAGAAUGAUCCUUAUGGUCAGAUUUGGCUAAAUUUUUAUGAAUGUGUCGCUUGAGUGUCCCAAAUAUGUGCUGGAUUUGAUUAGUAUGUUGUAUGCUUGCUAUGUUCCAGCCUUCCAGGAGGAUUGUUCUGGGAAUACAUUGACAAACAUGUUCUGCUUUUAAUGUUAUUUCUGUACAUAAAACAUACCAAAUUAAGAACUAAUGUACCCUUCUUACUUGGAAAUAGCUUGAUCUGGUUGGAGAUGUUCUAGCAUUCAGCGUGGGUUCUUGGGUUAGGCUGGCUUCUAGGAUUGACCGAUGCUAAAUUAAGAACUAGGAUUUGGCAGCAGGCAUGGUCUGUCCGGCGUGCUCAAGCCUUUUAGGUUGUUAUUAUCAUUUACAAUUAGGUUAUGCUAAACCAGCAAAUAGAGCUUCACCAUUUAAAAUUUUGAUCCACCAAUGGUGCUCCAGUGAUUUCUACUUAUUUGUUGUCGUGUCUUGGUAGUUUGAUAGAAUAGGGCAUGCUUUUCAUAUAGUUUCGUUACAUGAUGUUACAUCGGUUUUCUGACAGAUUAAUCCAUCACAAGCAAACAAAAUAGGAGACAAGGCAUCAUGAAGCAACCAUAGCAGGCUAUGACAAUUGGUUGUAAUAAAUAAAUGGAGAAUACCCACUGGACAGAAGUUUCUGAGCUAAAUAUGUUAGCCAUCCUAAACCCACUAAAAAACAAAAGAGAACAAUACCGAACCUGAGUAGUAUUUCAAUUUUAUUUCAUAUUAUUUCAUAUAUAUCUGUCAUCAUAUAAGUAUAUUGCAAAUAGAAGGGCUAAAAACAACUGUAGAAUUUCUGCCAAAUGAAGCUAUGCAAUAUAUGGAGCUAACUUGCAAUAGGAUCCCAUGGGAUUACAACUAUGAGAAGGACAGUCUGCUAAGAAAGAAAUUCAGUCCACUCAAAACGAAAAUCAGUCUCUUUUGCGUCAGAUUGAACAAAAAAAAAAGAGACAAGGCCAUCAACAGCCUAACAAAAGGUUGGGGUGGUGCGCUAGACACUGGCUAUGACACCAAGGAUGAGCUUCAAUGUAUAAGAUAUGUCAGAGUGUCGGCUUAAUCAUGCCUUGCUUCAUGUGCAGUAUGUUGAACUCACCUUGAUGAAUCAACCUUGGUCUCAGUCUCUCAAAUGAUAUGCUGCAGCAAACAAAGUCAGGACCUUGCUAUUCAGAUGAUGAACAGCAGUGCUGAUGAGUUGGGUGCUUUCAACUAUGAUAGCUCGGAUGAAGAACUCUACCGCUCAGGUUUGAUCUCUACCAGCACAAGAAGCUUGAUGAGCAAGAAGCACUAGAACUGGAGGCAAAAGGCUGUAGCUUUUCUGUUCUGUAUAACCAUUCUAGCCAAGUUGAUGGAGUUUCUAAUGUCACUGCUUGUUGAGCUGUGAUUUAUUUUCGCCGUUCAUAAUCAGUCUUGCCCAUGAUGUACCACAAAUGAUCCUCUAAUGCAAUGUAACACUUGAUAUGUAUUUAUGUCUCUUCUGUUGGUUCAUGAUUGUGAUUGUGCAGUUUGAAAUCUA
Molecule: ribosomal RNA, 10663 nt
Filed under: Triticum aestivum (bread wheat)
Lineage: Eukaryota; Viridiplantae; Streptophyta; Magnoliopsida; Poales; Poaceae
Description: partial small subunit ribosomal RNA
Source: RNAcentral